Molecule: ribosomal RNA, 453 nt
Filed under: uncultured bacterium
Lineage: Bacteria
Description: bacterial SSU rRNA
Rfam family: Bacterial small subunit ribosomal RNA
Source: RNAcentral
UACGGAAGGCAGCAGUGGGGAAUAUUGCACAAUGGGCGAAAGCCUGAUGCAGCUAUGCCGCGUGUAUGAAGAAGGCCUUAGGGUUGUAAAGUACUUUCAUCGGGGAGGAAAAACAAAACUAAUAAUUUUAUUUCUUGACGUUACCCGAAAAAGAAGCACCGGCUAACUCCGUGCCAGCAGCCGCGGUAAUACGGAGGGUGCUAGCGUUAAUCAGAAUUACUGGGCGUAAAGAGCACGUAGGUGGUUUUUUAAGUCAGAUGUGAAUCCCUGGGCUUAACCUAGGAACUGCAUUUUGAAACUGAAAUACUAGAGUAUCGUAGAGGGAGGUAGAAUUCUAGGUGUAGCGGUGAAAUGCGUAGAUAUCUGGAGGAAUACCUGUGGCGAAAGCGGCCUCCUAAACGAAUACUGACACUGAGGUGCGAAAGCGUGGGGAGCAAACAGGGAUUAGAUACC